RNAcentral lists this transfer RNA (83 nucleotides) under Bacteroidota bacterium. RNAcentral describes it as "Bacteroidetes bacterium (activated sludge metagenome) tRNA-Ser". It matches the Rfam family "tRNA". Rfam says of the family: Transfer RNA (tRNA) molecules are approximately 80 nucleotides in length. Their secondary structure includes four short double-helical elements and three loops (D, anti-codon, and T loops). Further hydrogen bonds mediate the characteristic L-shaped molecular structure. tRNAs have two regions of fundamental functional importance: the anti-codon, which is responsible for specific mRNA codon recognition, and the 3' end, to which the tRNAs corresponding amino acid is attached (by aminoacyl-tRNA synthetases). tRNAs cope with the degeneracy of the genetic code in two manners: having more than one tRNA (with a specific anti-codon) for a particular amino acid; and 'wobble' base-pairing, i.e. permitting non-standard base-pairing at the 3rd anti-codon position. Lineage: Bacteria; Pseudomonadati; Bacteroidota. The record is from RNAcentral.
GGAGAGCUAGCCUAAUUGGUAAGGCAGCAGUCUUGAAAACUGCCGUGUUUGCGCACUUGGGGGUUCGAGUCCCUCGCUCUCCG